CCUACGGGUGGCUGCAGUGGGGAAUAUUUCACAAUGGGGGGAACCCUGAUGCUGCGACGCCGCGUGAGUGAAGAAGUAUUUCGGUAUGUAAAGCUCUAUCAGCAGGGAAGAAAAUGACGGUACCUGACUAAGAAGCCCCGGCUAACUACGUGCCAGCAGCCGCGGUAAUAGGUAGGGGGCAAGCGUUAUCCGUAUUUACUGGGGGUAAAGGGAGCGUAAACGGGUUUGCAAGUCUGAAGUGAAAGCCCAAGGCUCAACCAUGGGACGGCUUUGGAAACUGUAACAAUGGAGUGCAGGAGAGGGAAGCGGAAUUCCUAGUGUAGCGGUGAAAUGCGUAGAUAUUAGGAGGAACACUAGUGGCGAAGGCGGCUUACUGGACUGUAACUGACGUUGAGGCUCGAAGGCGUGGGGAGCAAACAGGAUUAGAUACCCCAGUAGUC
RNAcentral lists this ribosomal RNA (440 nucleotides) under uncultured bacterium. Its description in RNAcentral is "partial 16S ribosomal RNA". It matches the Rfam family "Bacterial small subunit ribosomal RNA", at positions 338 to 795 of the family's 1533-position model. The record is from RNAcentral.